UGGGGAAUAUUGCAGCAAUGGGCGCAAGCCUGAUGCAGCCAUGCCGCGUGUGUGAAGAAGGCCUUCGGGUUGUAAAGCACUUUCAGCGAGGAGGAAGGUGGUGAACUUAAUACGUUCAUCAAUUGACGUUACUCGCAGAAGAAGCACCGGCUAACUCCGUGCCAGCAGCCGCGGUAAUACGGAGGGUGCAAGCGUUAAUCGGAAUUACUGGGCGUAAAGCGCACGCAGGCGGUUUGUUAAGUCAGAUGUGAAAUCCCCGGGCUCAACCUGGGAACUGCAUUUGAAACUGGCAAGCUAGAGUCUCGUAGAGGGGGGUAGAAUUCCAGGUGUAGCGGUGAAAUGCGUAGAGAUCUGGAGGAAUACCGGUGGCGAAGGCGGCCCCCUGGACGAAGACUGACGCUCAGGUGCGAAAGCGUGGGGAGCAAACAGGAUUAGAUACCCCU
Molecule: ribosomal RNA, 443 nt
Filed under: uncultured bacterium
Lineage: Bacteria
Description: partial 16S ribosomal RNA
Rfam family: Bacterial small subunit ribosomal RNA
Source: RNAcentral